GCUCUAAUAACAAAAAAUGAAAUCUGCCACACUCUAAUGCAUCUGCUGUGGCAUAAGGCUCCAUUAAAGGAGUUCGAAGCUUGAGUUUAAAAUUUUGGGUUUGCGAAAUUAGAUUCAGGUGUGAUUAGGUGUCUUGACAAAUAAUUGGGGUUACCUUUGGGAGUUAAUAUCUCGAAUUUGAAGCGAUUUGGAGAAGAUUUUGUGUGGUUUUGAGCGAGAUUCCAGCCGCAACACAAAGCUAAGUUCGAAAUUUUCAUAUCUGCAAUUUUCUUGCGCACUGUUUUGUGUCAAUUGUACUUUCUUGAUUUGAGUAUUUUAUUUUGAAGUAUGUUGUUUUUGAAUCUUUAUUGCACAAGUAGCAAAGUAGCAGUUCUUCCGUCUUGGGGGCUCUUCGCCGGCACCGGCGAUAAGAAAUUGAAACGGGAUACUUUACGUCCGUUGAGUCAUGAAAGGAUUAACGUGUGGGGAUUCUGCCGUUCUUCCGUUUUGGGGGCUCUGUUUGGCGCUGGUUCAAGUGAAAAUAGAGUGCCAAAGGUUUAGGGAUUCUGUUGUUCUGUCGUGCUAUAAACCGAACAAGCUCAAUCUUCCGUUUUGG
RNAcentral lists this long non-coding RNA (595 nucleotides) under Nicotiana benthamiana. Its description in RNAcentral is "long non-coding RNA (NBEN_LNC033991)". The record is from RNAcentral. Lineage: Eukaryota; Viridiplantae; Streptophyta; Magnoliopsida; Solanales; Solanaceae.